RNAcentral lists this transfer RNA (77 nucleotides) under Chloroflexota bacterium. Its description in RNAcentral is "tRNA-Pro". It matches the Rfam family "tRNA". Rfam says of the family: Transfer RNA (tRNA) molecules are approximately 80 nucleotides in length. Their secondary structure includes four short double-helical elements and three loops (D, anti-codon, and T loops). RNAcentral also lists the same sequence under 2 other names. The record is from RNAcentral. Lineage: Bacteria; Bacillati; Chloroflexota.
CGGGGUGUGGCGCAGCUUGGUAGCGCACCUGCAUGGGGUGCAGGGGGUCGCCGGUUCAAGUCCGGCCACCCCGACCA